RNAcentral lists this long non-coding RNA (277 nucleotides) under Sorghum bicolor (sorghum). RNAcentral describes it as "long non-coding RNA (SBIC_LNC011834)". Lineage: Eukaryota; Viridiplantae; Streptophyta; Magnoliopsida; Poales; Poaceae. The record is from RNAcentral.
GGCAAGCAACAUGAAUCUAAGAAAAAUUUAUUGAAAAUCUUUGUAAAAAGGGUUGUCAUCAAUUACCAAAAAGAGGGAGAUUGAAAGCCCUAGUUUGAUUUUAGAUAAUUGAUGAAACCCUAGUACUAACCUCCUUACUAAGUGUGUGUAGACUUAAUGAGGUUGGUACAUGCCAAGUGAUGGAGCAAGUGAUGAUCAUGGUGAUGAUGGUGAUCACCACAAGAUGAUCAAGUGCUCACCUUGGAAAAAAAAGAAAGAGAAAAACAAAACCCUAUGG